CAGAGUAGGUGAAGGAGCGAAUAGUGUCCGAAGGACGGGGAGUUGUCUUCGGAACGAAAGGGCAGCAGCCCCGCGAUUCCCUCGCCGCAUCCCGCUGU
This 98-nucleotide non-coding RNA is filed under the name bovine gut metagenome. Its description in RNAcentral is "THF riboswitch". It matches the Rfam family "THF (Tetrahydrofolate) riboswitch aptamer". Rfam says of the family: THF riboswitch presents a pseudoknot that joins P1-P2 and the loop of P3 and two THF binding. The record is from RNAcentral.